Molecule: long non-coding RNA, 3445 nt
Organism: Lycium barbarum (goji berry)
Lineage: Eukaryota; Viridiplantae; Streptophyta; Magnoliopsida; Solanales; Solanaceae
Exons: 6
Source: RefSeq, a predicted model, not a curated record
GUCGUUCGUCCAAGGGCAAAUCCGUCAUUUAGCUCAAGGACAAAAGAGAUAUUUAGCGUUUCUCAACAUAAUUCCAGAAGAAUCAUCCAGUUCUUUCAUCUUCUGGUCCAACUAUUUGGAGAAACAUGGAUUGGACUUCAGAAUUCUUUUUUUUCCCAAACUUUCAAGGACUGCUCUUCAACUUCAUCUUCUCAACUGGAAGUGCAAUUUUAGGUCAGUUUUUGUCUCAAUCUUUACCCUAAUCAGAUUUUUCAAUUUCAUACCUAAUGUUUAAAAAUGGGCUCAAUUUAAUUUUCUCUUUCUCAUUCACCUUCUACUCUCUGAUUUCUAUCACUGGACCAUUUUCUGCACACAAACUCUCACUAAACCAUAGAGAUAAUAGAUCUGAAGAACAAGAAACUUGGGUGAAUUAAAGAUGUCGUGGCAAACAUAUGUUGAUGAUCACUUGCUUUGUGAGAUUGAAGGUAAUCAUCUCACUUCUGCUGCUAUUAUCGGUCAAGACGGCACCGUUUGGGCCCAACCUGCUAAUUUCCCUCAGACAUUGAUGAUAUUGCAACAACAAGAUCUUGCUAUUUUCAUGUUGGGACUAUGAAAUCUGAUGAAUAAUAUUAUUGAUUGAAGAGCAACCAAUAUUUCAGGACUAUGGAAUCCGGCUUGAUAGAGUGGAAAGAAACAAGAUUAAAUAACUUUAUAUGUGCAUAAAAUUCUUUAUGUGCAAUUAGUUUGUAGUUUAAUCUUUUGUCAUUAACGCCAACUUCACCUUGCAAGCUUCCAUCAGUGCUGAAAAGACAGCAUUGGAGCAGAAGAUGUAAGCAAGCUGAUGCGCCAUUUGGAUGAAAAAAACAAGCUUUAGGAAAGUGGUGCCUUCAUUUGGCAAUAAAACUCCCCCAAUGGUCAUGAAAGAGCUUCAUCCUGGAACGACUUGUGUUAUUAGCAGCAUUUGUUAACUACUAUGCACAGCUGCCAAAAUACAGAUUCCAACCUGUUGCAACAUAUCUCAUACAUAUGUUGGACCACCUACAAUCUCACAGUUUUUGCCUUUUUAGCAAGCUCCCUCUAUAACUUUAUUCCGCAAAUAAAUGUUGCUUGUGCAUGUUUGAAACUAGAUGCAUAGGUGCAACCUUUUGAGAAGUACCGAAAAUUUGAUUCAAAUAAAUUAUGUUUAUGGACAGAGUGACACUUGGCUAAAUAAGAAGCUUAAAUGACUAAGCUGGCAAGUGACAACUAUAUGAAAAUGGCCAUUCACAGUGUAAGUCUCCAAUCUUUUUUUGUGUGAUGUUGAGCUUAAGUUGUCUCAUGCUCUGUAGUUGAGGUUUCUCAUCAUGCAUGGUCGCGAAGAUAUUCUAUUUUGCUAACGCCGUUUUAUGUUUUGUCCCGGUGUCGAGAAAGGGUUACCAGUUUAGUGUUUCUAGAAUUACCUUUAUCUUAUUGCUCUUUGACAAUGGUAUUUCAUUUGCUUACAUGUGUAAUCCUACAGUACCAUUACUGCUAUUUUAACUUUUUUGUCAACAAGAAGAAUUAGAUAUAACUUAUAGUUUUUCAGAAUGAGUAGAUAUUUUUCCAUGUGAUAUCUUUUCUCAAUUAGUAGUUAACCCGUUAUGGAGCAUUGACUACAGAUUGUUGUUUAGAUGACUUUAUUUUAUUUUUUUACUCUCAAGUUGUUCGAGGGACGAGGGGAUAAAAUACAGUAAACAACUAUAUGAAUGGUGGAAUAAUAUGAAUGACAACUAUCUCAUGUAACAAUUUCUUAAGAGCACGAUUCUGGUCGUGCUACAAUUACUAAUGUUAUUUGGUCAAGAGUUAUCAUUAGCAAAAAUAUUUCUUUCUAUUUCUUUGUCUAGACAAUCUAUUUGAACACUAAGGUAUACAUGAUUAAUAUCAUCGAUUAUUUCUUCUUUUUAUUUGAUAUUUAAGUCAGUAGAAAUGUGUAUAUGUACAAUCCUUCUAAUGUGUUUCUCAAUCUAAUGAUGAUUAAAUACAUUACUUUGAUAUCCGAUCUCCAUGCUAGCCUCUCCAUUUUCAUUGUAUAAAUGAAAUUUAAUUUUUCUGUUUUAAUCCUUACAAGAACACAAUGUCAAUGUGUUUUUUAUUUUAACUAUAUAGAAGCGUGGGUUAGGAGAAUGGAUUGACAUGGUGCCUUAUGUGUCAAUAAAAUUACAAUCAAGGGCAAUUUAGAGAUUCAAGGCAGGCUUAUUUAGGUUAGUUUACGUGUCAACAACCCUCCAGCUGUCACUUUCUUCUCACAGAACUCAUCUGUGUGCCGAUUGCCUCUCCGAUGUUCAAAAACCCGAACACCACACUCUUUUUCACCUCACACACUCCCAUUCCACCUUCCCACAAAGGCGUUCGAGGUGUUCACAAAAUCCGGCAAAACGGAGAAGCCAGGUUUGUCUCAAAGGGUACCAAAGGAGAUUCCAACCAUUGAUAUUCCUCUCAGGGUAAGUUCACAGUUUUCCAUAUCCUUUAAACUUGGGUACAUCAUUCAUGUUCUUUGAUUGUCGUUUAUCUCGACUCUUUUAUGACAUUUUGAUCAAUGAAUUUUGUUCUGUUAGUUUGUUGGAGAGAUUGCACAAGCAAUGUGUUUUUUAUUUUAACUAUAUAGAAGCGUGGGUUAGGAGAAUGGAUUGACAUGGUGCCUUAUGUGUCAAUAAAAUUACAAUCAAGGGCAAUUUAGAGAUUCAAGGCAGGCUUAUUUAGGUUAGAUUACGUGUCAACAACCCUCCAGCUGUCACUUUCUUCUCACAGAACUCGUCUCUGUGCCGACUGCCUCUCCGAUGUUCAAAAACCCGAACACCACACUCCUUUUCACCUCACACACUCCCAUUCCACCUUCCCACAAAGGCGUUCGAGGCGUUCACAAAAUCCGGCAAAACGGAGAAGCCAGGUUUGUCUCAAAGGGUACCAAAGGAGAUUCCAACCAUUGAUAUUCCUCUCAAGUUUGUUGGAGAGAUUGCACAAGAUAUUACACAUGUUGGAUAGGAUAAAUAAAGCUUAUGUGGAUGAGAACCAUAAGCCACGGUGGCCUCUGCUGCCUCACUCACUUUUGUUGUAUCAGGAUGAAGCAUCUCUGAAAGGUCGCAAGUGAAUUAAAUACUGUAAAAGAAAGUAAUGUAAUGAAUAGCUCUUUUAGAUUACUUGAAAUGAAUAAUUCAGUUAAAUCCCGAAGCAUCUCCAUUAUGUAAUUGUAAAUUAAGUUUCUCAUUUAAUCAGAAUCAAGUUACUAAGAAUAUGACAGAGACAUGAACUUAGUUGAGAAAAUAAGUGAAGAGAAAUUAGUUUAAUUUGCCUCAUGAAAUUGAUUCUUUGAAAACCUGCAAUUGGAUCUGCUUCAAGGAAAUUAGUAGUCCAUUGUGAUUUUUAAUUAUCUGCUUUUGAUCAUCUAAAAUACUUAUAAUCUAUAAGUUGUAUAAAUAUGACUCAAAGCUACUAUUAAAGUAUUGUGUAC